AUUUGUCCAUCUUCCAUCUUCCAUCAACCCCAUAACUGUAGCAGAGCCAUCCUUUGAACAAUAUCCAAGUGGCACUCAAGGUCACCCCAAACUUUCUCGGUCAUUCAUACACAAAUUUGGUCACCACCACCAUUUCUGUUACCCACACUAUAUUCCCUUCAACCCCCUCAGGUGCCGAGGUAAUGUUUGGCUCAAAGCUUGAAGAGAUCGAAGAGGGAUUAUCUUUCUGGUUGAGGGUCCUAACUAAUCGGCUUUGAGAUUCUGCUAAUGUCGAUGUUGAAACGCUGUCAGUUUCGGAGCAGAACGUGCCAGAAUCGACUGGGAGGAAGGAUGUAGGGAAGGAAAAAGAAGAAGAAGACUCGGUUGAUCCGAGAGUAUCAUUGUUUUUUCAGCCAAGCGAGAAGAUAACAGUCGUUCAUUGCAGUAUCGUAUGUGUAGACUACGUCAUUUCCCCAGGGAUUAAACAAUGCCACCCUAAACCGCCAAACGUCAAUAGAACGUAUAUUGACGAUGAAAGAGGUAGAUGCACUUACAUCUUCGUCCCAUUCACUGCGAUUGAUGUGUUCAGAACUGCAUAAGCAUGGCCCCCUACAAGUUCUACCGCCCCAGUAGGGAAGGUCUGGAGUACCACCGGGGUCUUGGUCCCCUUGCUCAGCACUUCCCAAGCUUCAUCUCCCAAAUCUCCCUUGAACUCCCACGCCGCCUCUUUCCCCGUCAAGAUCCGCAACGCAUUGGGCACUCCUGCAGGAUUAAGGGAACCAUUUGUUGACGGAAGGAUACCAGAGUACACGGCAGCCGAAUCAUAUGCACCUGGCCACCAUGCAAUAGAGGUAUCUUCGUUAUCGUUGUUGAUCAGCUGGGAAUGGUAAGUCACAGGGACUGAUUGGGCAGUAAGGGAAGUGUCAUCGGCGAAGAUGGUGACUGUGACGUCUGUAACGUUCAGAUCGGAUGGGCUAGAGUAAGAGAAUUUAGAUUUGAUGAAAGAAGGUGAAAUCGUGGUGAUUGCUGCCAUAGAUGAGAGCCAGCCACAAUCUCCUUCAUCUGUUUAGAAGAUUGUCAGCAAGAUGACCCAUUUGAGUAUUGAUGAUGAAGCGUAUGAUGGAGGCUCACGUUGUCCAAUAUCAUCCCUACUCGGCAUCCCGCUCGCCCCAAAAAGAGGCGCACCGUCACGCUUCGAGAUGGGUCGAGGCGGGGACAGUCAUUCAAAUAGAAAAAGUGUGGAGAACGUACCAACAGAGAAUAGAAGGGUGAUAAAGAACGUAUUGAUCAUCUCGACAAGGUGUGCUAUAUGGCCAGGAUGUCCCUCGUCCGCCAGGUAGAUUUUGAUAGGGUAUGACUGAAGGAGAUUUAAUUCUUGAGUUGAAAAACAUAGGCUGCCCAAAAGAUUGUUGAGGGAUGAUUCAUAUACCAGCUCCCA
RNAcentral lists this small RNA (1417 nucleotides) under Cryptococcus neoformans H99. RNAcentral describes it as "Cryptococcus neoformans var. grubii H99 hypothetical RNA". The record is from RNAcentral. Lineage: Eukaryota; Fungi; Basidiomycota; Tremellomycetes; Tremellales; Cryptococcaceae.